AUACGUAGGGGGCGAGCGUUGUCCGGAAUGAUUGGGCGUAAAGGGCGCGUAGGCUGCACGGUAAGUCUGGCGUGAAAGCCCGCGGCUCCACAGCGGGCCUGCAUUGGUAACUGGUCAUCUGGAGAGCAGGAGGGGUAAGCGGACUUCCCAGUGUCACAGUGAAAAGAGUAGAGAUAGGGAGGAACACCUGUGGUGAAGGCGACUUACUGGACUGUAACUGACGCUGAGGCGCGAAAGUGUGGUGAGCAAACAGGAUUAGAUACCCUGGUAGUCCACACUGUAAACGAUGAAUGCUAGGUGUAGGGGGUAUCGACCCCUUCUGUGCCGCAGUCAACACAAUAAGCAUUCCGCCUGGGGAGUACGGCCGCAAGGUUGAAACUCAAAGGAAUUGGCGGGG
This 397-nucleotide ribosomal RNA is filed under the name uncultured bacterium. Its description in RNAcentral is "partial 16S ribosomal RNA". It matches the Rfam family "Bacterial small subunit ribosomal RNA", at positions 523 to 918 of the family's 1533-position model. The record is from RNAcentral.